RNA transcript from Xenia sp. Carnegie-2017, 837 nucleotides. RefSeq lists it as uncharacterized. The record is from RefSeq and is a predicted model, not a curated record. Lineage: Eukaryota; Metazoa; Cnidaria; Anthozoa; Malacalcyonacea; Xeniidae. The transcript has 3 exons.
CAUGAAAACCAUCCAGAUGAGUUGUUUCCUAAAUGUGCUCACGGAGAGCUAGAUGAACGUCUAUGGCUUCAAGUUGAUGGGAUUGUAUUCUUUUUAAGGAACUAAAUCAUAUCAGUGACUUUCCUCCAUUCUGUUGAAAAAAUCUGUUCUCAAAGAUGUUAAAAAACUAUCUUCAGAAGCACAAACUAGUUGUCUUGAAGGUUUUCAUUCAACAUUAAAUGGUUGGCAUCCAAAGAUGACCCACUUUUCUUGGCUUGGUACAUAUUGCAGGUAACUUGUAAUCACUGUUCUCUAUCUGCCAAGCCUUUUUUACUUGUUCCUAGUCAAGAAAAAAAAUUACAUAAUAAAUGGUUUGUUCUGUUUAGGCACGUACUGGCAGUACUUCAUUUCAAUGAAAACCUUCACAGACAGCCAAAAAAAACAAAAAAUGGAACACCAUAUUAUUCUGUGACAUACCCAAAAUUUAAAUCAGGGGUAAGAACUGUUUCUUCAGCACCAUCAUAUUGUAAGUUUAGCAUGUAUGCAUUGGUACUCUUGACUUACACAUCUAACCACUUGUCAUUUUUCCAGACUAUGUUAAUGAAAUUAAAAAUGUCAUGGUUCUUAGUUGUGAGGAAUCCAUGGACAACAUAUUUAAGAAGUAUAAGGAAAAAGUCCCAGAAGCCUUAAACAAAACUUUCUCGGAUCGAAUUUCCAAAACUGAGGCAAUCCAACGGCAUUUGGAUAGGAAACAACUAUCUUCAACACCAUUGUUUCCCACAUAUCAACAGCAAGAUGUACUGCAAGCAAAAGGUUUAGACAAAGAAAAACAAGCUGCUUCAACAGGUCCUUCAGAUC